UACCAAAGCGACUAUAAGUCGCUCUGGAUAAGAGCGUCUGCUAAAUGACUAAAA
Non-coding RNA from Salmo salar (Atlantic salmon), 54 nucleotides. Lineage: Eukaryota; Metazoa; Chordata; Actinopteri; Salmoniformes; Salmonidae. The record is from Rfam.